AUGUUUUUUUUAAGUCUCAUGGCAAUGCACGGGCAUUCAACUAGUAUUAUAAAAUGUUCAAUGCGUAUUCAAAAAUUGGUCAAUGCAUAUAUUCAUAUAUAUUUUCAAAAAAGUUCAUCAUAUAUAAAAAAGGUUCAUCGUGCAUUACUGAAAAUGUUCAUCAUUUAUUUAAAAAGUCCAUCAUAUAAUAACAGUAGGAGGCUAAUCAAUCAUUUGUUUCAUGGGCGCGCGUGGGCCACGUGGAGUGCGAUUUGGACUGCCCAUGUUGCUUUCGGCCGGUUAAAAGCGCGACGCGACACGACAAGUCGGCCGGUGAGCAGGAGGACAAGUCGGCCGUGCUUUGCUCUCCCUGACUCCCUCCCACAGCACUCGCGACUGAGUGCUCUUUGUUGA
Molecule: ribosomal RNA, 393 nt
Filed under: Triticum aestivum (bread wheat)
Lineage: Eukaryota; Viridiplantae; Streptophyta; Magnoliopsida; Poales; Poaceae
Description: partial small subunit ribosomal RNA
Source: RNAcentral